AAACCAGCACCUCAAGUGGUCAGGAUGAUUAUUGGGCCUAAAGCAUCCGUAGCCGGCUCUGUAAGUUUUCGGUUAAAUCUGUACGCUCAACGUACAGGCUGCCGGUAAUACUGCAGAGCUAGGGAGUGGGAGAGGUAGACGGUACUCGGGAGGAAGUGGUAAAAUGCUUUGAUCUCUCGAUGACCACCUGUGGCGAAGGCGGUCUACCAGAACACGUCCGACGGUGAGGGAUGAAAGCUGGGGGAGCAAACCGGAUUAGAAACCCGAGUAGUCC
Molecule: ribosomal RNA, 274 nt
Filed under: uncultured bacterium
Lineage: Bacteria
Description: partial 16S ribosomal RNA
Rfam family: Archaeal small subunit ribosomal RNA
Source: RNAcentral